GACGAACGCUGGCGGCGUGCUUAACACAUGCAAGUCGAACGGAAAGGCCUUUUCGGAGGUACUCGAGUGGCGAACGGGUGAGUAACACGUGGGUGAUCUGCCCUGCACUCUGGGAUAAGCCUGGGAAACUGGGUCUAAUACCGGAUAGGACCGCACUUUAGUGUGUGUGGUGGAAAGUUUUUUCGGUGUAGGAUGAGCCCGCGGCCUAUCAGCUUGUUGGUGGGGUAAUGGCCUACCAAGGCGGCGACGGGUAGCCGGACUGAGAGGUUGGUCGGCCACAUUGGGACUGAGAUACGGCCCAGACUCCUACGGGAGGCAGCAGGGGGGAAUAUUGCACAAUGGGCGCAAGCCUGAUGCAGCGACGCCGCGUGGGGGAUGACGGCCUUCGGGUUGUAAACUCCUUUCGCCAGGGACGAAGCGUUUUGUGGCGGUACCUGGAGAAGAAGCACCGGCUAACUACGUG
Molecule: ribosomal RNA, 463 nt
Filed under: uncultured bacterium
Lineage: Bacteria
Description: partial 16S ribosomal RNA
Rfam family: Bacterial small subunit ribosomal RNA
Source: RNAcentral